RNAcentral lists this ribosomal RNA (618 nucleotides) under uncultured bacterium. RNAcentral's name for it is "bacterial SSU rRNA". It matches the Rfam family "Bacterial small subunit ribosomal RNA", at positions 28 to 646 of the family's 1533-position model. The record is from RNAcentral.
GAUGAACGCUGGCGGCGUGCCUAACACAUGCAAGUCGAACGAAGCAUUUUAGAGGAAGUUUUCGGAUGGAAUUUAAGAUGACUGAGUGGCGGACGGGUGAGUAACGCGUGGAUAACCUGCCCCACACUGGGGGAUAACAGUUAGAAAUGGCUGCUAAUACCGCAUAAGCGCACAGUACUGCAUAGUACAGUGUGAAAAACUCCGGUGGUGUGGGAUGGAUCCGCGUCUGAUUAGUUAGUUGGCGGGGUAACGGCCCACCAAGACGACGAUCAGUAGCCGACCUGAGAGGGUGACCGGCCACAUUGGGACUGAGACACGGCCCAAACUCCUACGGGAGGCAGCAGUGGGGAAUAUUGCACAAUGGGGGAAACCCUGAUGCAGCGACGCCGCGUGAGUGAAGAAGUAUUUCGGUAUGUAAAGCUCUAUCAGCAGGGAAGAAGAUGACGGUACCUGACUAAGAAGCCCCGGCUAACUACGUGCCAGCAGCCGCGGUAAUACGUAGGGGGCAAGCGUUAUCCGGAUUUACUGGGUGUAAAGGGAGCGUAGACGGCGGAGCAAGUCUGAAGUGAAAGCCCGGGGCUCAACCCCGGGACUGCUUUGGAAACUGCUCUGCUAGAG